GCUGAUUAGCUACGUUCGGAUGGGAUAACCGCUGAAAGCAUCUAAGCGGGAAGCUCGCUUCAAGAUGAGAUUUCCAUACACAUAAUGUGUGAGAGGCCCCCAGCCAGACCACUGGGUUGAUAGGCCGGAUGUGGAAGCGAGGACUAAAGACUCGUGAAGCUGACCGGUACUAAUAGGCCAACAACUUACACC
This 192-nucleotide ribosomal RNA is filed under the name Arthrobacter sp. cf158. RNAcentral's name for it is "23S rRNA. Bacterial LSU". It matches the Rfam family "Bacterial large subunit ribosomal RNA", at positions 2740 to 2925 of the family's 2925-position model. The record is from RNAcentral. Lineage: Bacteria; Bacillati; Actinomycetota; Actinomycetes; Micrococcales; Micrococcaceae.